UUGAAGGGAACUUCAUGUGCUGUAGAACUUGUAGACAACGUAGGCUGGUACCAGAGCCAUGGAGGAGAACGUGAUGCCCCACCCAACCUGGUUGUCCCAGAGUGGGAAGAUGUAGUCAUUACAGAGGAAAGGACUUACCUGGCAUCUCCAACAGCAAGUUGGCUACUACUUUACUACCCCAGCAGGAGGAAGGAAGAAUUUCUUUCUGUCCUUCAACAAGCCCAGCCAAUGGAAAAUACCACAGCUCAGCAAAUGAGAAACCAUCAUCACCCUGGACUCUUACCCUCCUCCAAGGAACUUUCACAGAACAGCCCUCUCUUCUCCCCUUUUUUCUCUUUAAAAGCACAAUCCCCUUCUCUGUUCUCCGGACUUGCCGGUGGUUUUUGCCAUAGCUUGCUUGUCCCAAACUGAAUUCCUCUGGCUAUUCCUGAAUAAACUCAAUCUGC
This 446-nucleotide long non-coding RNA is filed under the name Equus asinus (donkey). RNAcentral's name for it is "lncRNA (ENSEASG00005029236.1)". Lineage: Eukaryota; Metazoa; Chordata; Mammalia; Perissodactyla; Equidae. The record is from RNAcentral.